CCCCCCCCUCCGAAGCCUACUGCAACGAAAUUCCCACCGUCCACGGCCCCAAAGCAGCGAUUGCAGACGAUUCCGUCCCCGGAAAGCACCGGGAAGAGGACAAGCUUCCUCGAGUCAGCCAGAGGCAGAAGGAGAACCAGAAGAAUGGGAGGAACCACACCUGAGAAACACCAGUGGAAGAAAAAUAUGGCGAGCUCUUCAAGAAGAGGCGGCGGAAGAGAAAGACGACCUCGUCGUCCAGGCGGAGAGAG
This 251-nucleotide long non-coding RNA is filed under the name Spirodela polyrhiza (greater duckweed). RNAcentral's name for it is "long non-coding RNA (SPOL_LNC002391)". Lineage: Eukaryota; Viridiplantae; Streptophyta; Magnoliopsida; Alismatales; Araceae. The record is from RNAcentral.